This 85-nucleotide transfer RNA is filed under the name Pseudolactococcus chungangensis. RNAcentral's name for it is "tRNA-Ser". It matches the Rfam family "tRNA". From Rfam's summary of the family: Transfer RNA (tRNA) molecules are approximately 80 nucleotides in length. Lineage: Bacteria; Bacillati; Bacillota; Bacilli; Lactobacillales; Streptococcaceae. The record is from RNAcentral.
GGAAAGAAUUGUCUAUUGGUAAGACUAAUUGACCUGCUAAGUCAAUAGCGAAUUUCGUUUAAGAGUUCGAUUCUCUUUCUUUCCU